Non-coding RNA from Bacteroidetes bacterium GWF2_33_16, 322 nucleotides. Lineage: Bacteria; Pseudomonadati; Bacteroidota. The record is from Rfam.
AAGUGGCACGCGAGCUGGGUUCAGAACGUCGUGAGACAGUUCGGUCCCUAUCUGUUGUGGGCGUUGGAAAUUUGAGAGGCCCUGCUUCUAGUACGAGAGGACCGGAGCGGACAUACCUCUAGUGUAUCUGUUGUGGCGCCAGCUGCAUUGCAGAGUAGCUACGUAUGGAAGAGAUAAGUGCUGAAAGCAUCUAAGCACGAAGCUCGCCUCAAGAUGAGAUUUCCCUUAAGGGUCGUUGAAGACUACGACGUUGAUAGGUUGCAAGUGUAAAGGCAGUAAUGUCAAAGCUGAGCAAUACUAAUUACCCGUGAGCUUCUUUCGU